RNAcentral lists this ribosomal RNA (443 nucleotides) under uncultured Bacillota bacterium. RNAcentral's name for it is "bacterial SSU rRNA". It matches the Rfam family "Bacterial small subunit ribosomal RNA", at positions 917 to 1359 of the family's 1533-position model. The record is from RNAcentral. Lineage: Bacteria; Bacillati; Bacillota.
GGACCCGCACAAGCAGCGGAGCAUGUGGUUUAAUUCGAAGCAACGCGAAGAACCUUACCAGGGCUUGACAUCCCCCUGACUGGCCGGUAAAGCGGCAGUCCCUACGGGGCGAGGGGAGGACAGGUGGUGCAUGGUUGUCGUCAGCUCGUGUCGUGAGAUGUUGGGUUAAGUCCCGCAACGAGCGCAACCCUUGUCAUUAGUUGCCAGCGAGAGAGACGGGCACUCUAGUGAGACUGCCGGGGAUAACUCGGAGGAAGGUGGGGAUGACGUCAAAUCAUCAUGCCCCUUAUGUUCUGGGCUACACACGUGCUACAAUGGCCGGUACAGAGUGGAGCAAAGCCGCGAGGCGGAGCGAAUCACAAAAACCGGUCCCAGUUCGGAUUGCAGGCUGCAACUCGCCUGCAUGAAGUUGGAGUUGCUAGUAAUCGCGAAUCAGAAUGUCG